Molecule: ribosomal RNA, 496 nt
Filed under: uncultured bacterium
Lineage: Bacteria
Description: partial 16S ribosomal RNA
Rfam family: Bacterial small subunit ribosomal RNA
Source: RNAcentral
GAUGAACGCUGGCGGCGUGCCUAAUACAUGCAAGUCGAGCGAACGGACGAGAAGCUUGCUUCUCUGAUGUUAGCGGCGGACGGGUGAGUAACACGUGGAUAACCUACCUAUAAGACUGGGAUAACUUCGGGAAACCGGAGCUAAUACCGGAUAAUAUUUUGAACCGCAUGGUUCAAAAGUGAAAGACGGUCUUGCUGUCACUUAUAGAUGGAUCCGCGCUGCAUUAGCUAGUUGGUAAGGUAACGGCUUACCAAGGCAACGAUGCAUAGCCGACCUGAGAGGGUGAUCGGCAACACUGGAACUGAGACACGGUCCAGACUCCUACGGGAGGCAGCAGGAGGGAAUCUUCAGCAAUGGGCGAAAGCCUGACGGAGCAACGCCGCGUGAGUGAUGAAGGUCUUCGGAUCGUAAAACUCUGUUAUUAGGGAAGAACAUAUGUGUAAGUAACUGUGCACAUCUGGACGGUACCUAAUCAGAAAGCCACGGCUAACUACGU